Molecule: long non-coding RNA, 2651 nt
Filed under: Rattus norvegicus (Norway rat)
Lineage: Eukaryota; Metazoa; Chordata; Mammalia; Rodentia; Muridae
Description: long non-coding RNA NONRATT004455
Source: RNAcentral
CAAACAGCACCACCUACUCCACCAACCCCACCUCCCCCUCUUCCUCUGCCAGUUCCCCCUAAGGGAGUAGGGGAAAUGACAGGGGUUGAGAGAACCCAGAAGGGGGAUGUGGGGUGAGCACCAAGGCCAGAUCCCCCCUCUUACCAGAUGCCACCCUCCCUGAGUCCCUCUUCCCUCUCCCCCCAGCUCCCUGGCCUCCCUGUCCUUUGGGAGCCCCAUAACAUUCUUGUGCAGGGAUUUGGGGGCCCCUGGAGCUCAGGAGUCAGGCUGCUUUGUGUGAUUGUAGUUUCCCCAUUCCCUGAGAAGGGAUUUUGGGUUGUUCCCUCUCAGUCUUCUCCAGGGAAUGGCCCCUGUGAGGGGCAGAGCCAGCUCCCAUCCCUUCUCCAGCCCUUGGGCAACUGAGCAAUAUACUUCUCUGAGUCUCUACUUACAGCCCCACCAGCUCUGAAUGUCUAACCUGCUCCCCUAAUUGGUAAGCCUAGGGGGAAACCAUCUAUCUCUCUCACCUAAUGAUGCCUGCUCAUUCUGACGCUGUCUCUAAGCCCUUCCCCAGAUGCUUCCUAGCACAUUCCAUUCUUUGUGGCCCAAGGCCUGGACCAGACCAUUGUGAUAUCUGACCCACCAGCCUGGAAGCAUGGCUUUGGAUUCCGUUCUUCCCAAGGUGGGUUUCUCUGUCCUUGUUUCUUUCAUAUUAAGAUGCCAUGCCUUCCUUGGCUUCCAUGCCUUUGGAUCUUCCAUAUUCCUUCCUGCACUCCGAGACUUUGGAGAUGGCCUAACCCAUUCCAGGUCAUAAGGAGGCAGGAGGUGUCCUAUGGCUGAGCACUUUUUCAAUACAGGGCAGGGAAAUCUUGGGCCCUACCUUUACCCCAAGUCCAGUGACCCCAGAUUCUUCCAAGACAAAAGAGGUGAAUAGAUCAUAACUCUUCUGGCCUUUAUAUGUGGCUGCUUUGGGAAUAACCCAAAUUCGAGCACCAGGUAUGAAGUACUCCAUACAGAAUGGAGAAGAGAAUCUACUUUCUCCGUGUCAACCCCUCACUAUGGUUUCUUCUAGAUUAGACCAAAUAGCCAGAGAAACUGAUGGGGGUUUGAUGUGUGGGUAAGCCCAAGAUCUGCACAGAACCUCCACCCUCACCUUUAUUCCGUCUCCUCUGAUGUCACUGUCCUCACCAAUCACUCCAGAUGGUUUUAAGGGAACCAUCUUCCUCUUCUGGUGGGCUUUGGGGUAUCCCCACCAACUCUGCCUCCAAAACAGCACCUUAUACCCCAUCUCAAGUCUCCCACACCCAAAGAUCCCAGCCUAGGAAUGGGGCACAGGGAUUUUUAAAUAGUCCCUAAUCCCUAAUUUGCACUAGUUAACCCUGGUCAGGGGUCCUAUGUUUCCUUCCAGUAGGGACAAUAGAGAAAUGUUUGUUCCUAAUUCCCUUUGAAAAUGGGGCCUCCCUGACCUGAUGUGUGAUUAGAUGGAUAUUUCCAAUAUACCCAUCUCCCCUCCCCCACAAAGAAAGAACCAGCUCACAAAGGGAGAGCCAAUUUGGGGGAACAAAUUUGAUGUGGGAGUUAGAGGAGUAUGAUUUCAAAAGGAGAAAGACUGUUUUAAUCAAAAUGACAGUCUUUCAGCUACUGUUUUCUGGGGCCAAGAUGGCUGCCCUCUGACUUGCUAUGGAGAGGGCAAGAUCAUGGCUUUUGGAGGGAGGUGAGUUUGGGAAGGCCAGGAGCAUCCUCCUGCCUCCUCCUAACCUCCAAGUAUACAGAAGGGGAGGUUUUUGACAGGCUUCCUGAAUGUUAACCACGGAGGGGGUCACUCCACCCCUCCUCUGUCUCUUUGCACUUUUCUUGGUCUUGGCUACAGCCUGAGUGAAGAAUUUCCUACUGAAUGUACCAAGUUCCAGUUUUUAAGGGGGGAAAAGUUUCAAACAGGGAAAAAUGGAAAAAAAAAAGAAAAAAAAUCACUAAAAACUCCCAUAAAUCUUGUUUCUGGCACUUUAGAAAAACUGCAAAAAAUACAUAAUAAAGAAUACAUAUAUAUAUCUACACACAAAUUAUAUAUAUAAAUAUAUCUAUAUAUACAGCGGAACCACAAGAGAGACUGAGGAAGGCCUGAAGGCAGGGGGCAGAGAUGACAAAGGUCCCCUCUACCUUCAUUGCCCUCCUCUGAGGAAGUCUUGAGAGAAGGGGUAAAAAUGAACUGGGGAAUUUGAAUUUCAGAAUAGAUCAAAAUUCUGACCAUUUGGAAGAAUUGAGAUUAUAAAUGGGUUUUGUUUUUGUUUUUAAUAAGGGUAAAGACAAUAGCUUCCAGAAUUUGGUGACAAACAGUUGUGGCAAAGCAGAAACUUAAAAAUAUAUAUCUGAGCUGGAAGGUCUCCAUAUCCUGAGUUUCAGGUGCUGGGAGUUUGGGAUUUUGCAAUUUUGUCAUUUGGAGGUGAUCAAGUCUUGUCAGUUUGUGCCCUCUUUCCCCAUGUGACCUGGGGAGAAGGGAAAAAGUGGGAAGCUACUGGUUCUGUGCCACAGCACGCAAGAUUUAGAAUUUUACAGACUCUAGCUCUAUACGUAGUGAGGACCCAGAUUUAGAGAAUCUGACCAAUAUUUAUCUCCAGAUUUGUGUGUUUUCAAUUCUCUAGGCCAAUAAAUCAACAAGACAAAUGAACUCUGCU